Molecule: ribosomal RNA, 249 nt
Filed under: uncultured bacterium
Lineage: Bacteria
Description: partial 16S ribosomal RNA
Rfam family: Bacterial small subunit ribosomal RNA
Source: RNAcentral
UACGUAGGGUGCAAGCGUUGUCCGGAAUUAUUGGGCGUAAAGAGCUCGUAGGCGGUCUGUCGCGUCGGCUGUGAAAUCCCCGAGGCUCAACCUCGGGUCUGCAGUCGAUACGGGCAAACUAGAGUAUUGCAGGGGAGACUGGAAUUCCUGGUGUAGCGGUGAAAUGCGCAGAUAUCAGGAGGAACACCGGUGGCGAAGGCGGGUCUCUGGGCAAUAACUGACGCUGAGGAGCGAAAAGCGUGGGGGAGC